RNAcentral lists this ribosomal RNA (494 nucleotides) under uncultured bacterium. RNAcentral describes it as "partial 16S ribosomal RNA". It matches the Rfam family "Bacterial small subunit ribosomal RNA", at positions 28 to 507 of the family's 1533-position model. The record is from RNAcentral.
GACGAACGCUGGCGGCGUGCUUAACACAUGCAAGUCGAACGGUGAAGCGCCUUCCUUUUUGGUGGGUGUGGAUGAGUGGCGAACGGGUGAGUAACACGUGAGUAACCUGCCCCUUUCUUCUGGAUAACCGCAUGAAAGUGUGGCUAAUACGGGAUAUUCUGGGUCUGUCGCAUGAUGGGUCUGGGAAAGAUAUUGUUUCGGUGGGGGAUGGGCUCGCGGCCUAUCAGCUUGUUGGUGGGGUGAUGGCCUACCAAGGCGGUGACGGGUAGCCGGCCUGAGAGGGUGGACGGUCACACUGGGACUGAGACACGGCCCAGACUCCUACGGGAGGCAGCAGUGGGGAAUAUUGCACAAUGGGCGCAAGCCUGAUGCAGCGACGCCGCGUGAGGGAUGGAGGCCUUCGGGUUGUGAACCUCUUUCGCCAGUGAAGCAGGCCUGCCUCGUUUGUGGGUGGGUUGACGGUAGCUGGAUAAGAAGCGCCGGCUAACUACGUG